Molecule: ribosomal RNA, 428 nt
Filed under: uncultured bacterium
Lineage: Bacteria
Description: bacterial SSU rRNA
Rfam family: Bacterial small subunit ribosomal RNA
Source: RNAcentral
UGGGGAAUUUUGGACAAUGGGCGCAAGCCUGAUCCAGCCAUGCCGCGUGUGUGAAGAAGGCCUUCGGGUUGUAAAGCACUUUCGGCCGGAACGAAAUCGCGCGGGUUAAUAGUCCGCGUGGAUGACGGUACCGGAAGAAGAAGCACCGGCUAACUACGUGCCAGCAGCCGCGGUAAUACGUAGGGUGCGAGCGUUAAUCGGAAUUACUGGGCGUAAAGGGUGCGCAGGCGGCGUCGCAAGUCAGGCGUGAAAUCCCCGGGCUUAACCUGGGAACUGCACUUGAAACUACGAUGCUGGAGUAUGGCAGAGGGAGGUGGAAUUCCACGUGUAGCGGUGAAAUGCGUAGAGAUGUGGAGGAACACCGAUGGCGAAGGCAGCCUCCUGGGCCAAUACUGACGCUCAUGCACGAAAGCGUGGGGAGCAAACAG